Molecule: long non-coding RNA, 309 nt
Organism: Labeo rohita (rohu)
Lineage: Eukaryota; Metazoa; Chordata; Actinopteri; Cypriniformes; Cyprinidae
Exons: 3
Source: RefSeq, a predicted model, not a curated record
CAGCUCUGUGAAGAAUAAAUGAUUUAUGGAGAACACACAAGCAUUCAACAACAGAGAUUUUUCUUCAGGAUACAGUAUGUUGCACAGAGAGAGAUCAAACCCAUCAGAGUCCAGCUGUGUGUCCAUGAAAAGCGACCAGUCUAUGGGCAAGGCAAUAAAAUUUAAGGGAAGACAAACAUCAGCUGAUCUAAGUCUUUUGUACAAAGAGAGAUCUAACCCACCAGAGGCCAGCUGUGUGUCCAUGAAGAGCAACCAGUCUAUGGGCAAGCCAAUACAAUUUAAGGAAAAGCACCCAUCAACUGAUAUGAG